This 54-nucleotide transfer RNA is filed under the name Galeorhinus galeus (tope shark). Its description in RNAcentral is "partial tRNA-Pro". The record is from RNAcentral. Lineage: Eukaryota; Metazoa; Chordata; Chondrichthyes; Carcharhiniformes; Triakidae.
UCGAACCUCGCCUUUGGCCCACAAAAGCCAAGAUUUUGCCCAAAAUGCCCCCAG